CCUACUGGAGGCAGCAGUGGGGAAUAUUGGACAAUGGGCGAAAGCCUGAUCCAGCAAUGCCGCGUGAGUGAUGAAGGCCUUAGGGUCGUAAAGCUCUUUUACCCGGGAUGAUAAUGACAGUACCGGGAGAAUAAGCCCCGGCUAACUCCGUGCCAGCAGCCGCGGUAAUACGGAGGGGGCUAGCGUUGUUCGGAAUUACUGGGCGUAAAGCGUGCGUAGGCGGUUAUUCAAGUCAGAGGUGAAAGCCCGGGGCUCAACCCCGGAACGGCCUUUGAAACUAGGUAGCUAGAAUCUUGGAGAGGUCAGUGGAAUUCCGAGUGUAGAGGUGAAAUUCGUAGAUAUUCGGAAGAACACCAGUGGCGAAGGCGACUGACUGGACAAGUAUUGACGCUGAGGCACGAAAGCGUGGGGAGCAAACAGGAUUAGAUACCCUGGUAGUCCACGCCGUAAACGAUGAUAACUAGCUGUUCGGGUACUUGGUAUCUGAGUGGCGCAGCUACGACAUUAAGUUAUCCGUCCGUCGGGUAGGUACGGUCGCGAGAGUAAACUACAAAUAGAGUUAGUACGGUCGUGAGACGUUGUCCGACGGACGACGACGAGGGAGGUAGG
RNAcentral lists this ribosomal RNA (609 nucleotides) under uncultured bacterium. RNAcentral describes it as "bacterial SSU rRNA". The stretch from base 1 to 518 matches the Rfam family "Bacterial small subunit ribosomal RNA", at positions 338 to 873 of the family's 1533-position model. The record is from RNAcentral.